UUUGCCAUAACAUGGCCAAGGUACAAUGAUUUAUGCAAUCCAAAUCUAAUAACGUACAUCUACUGUAAUUUGACUGGGUAUAUGCCCUAAACUGGUGCUUCUUUUGUAUUUUUACACUUAAAUAUACAUUAAGGCAGGAUGCACGGUUUGACAAGGUAGGACAAUUCGACAGAACACUGGAGUUCGCUGGUGUUGCGCCGAAUAGAGUCCCCUUCCGAUUUCUUCUAAGCUUAUGCUAAACAAAAAGCAGACAUGCGCAGACUCGCUGUGUGACGUCAGCGUUUUCAAAAAGCUCCGUUUUCGCGUGGACGGAAGGCCAAAACAGAGACAAAAACAUCCGUUUUUAUAAAUUCCCGGCUUUGUGUGGACGGGGACUUCAAUGUAUAGACUUUAUGGGCUCUGGCUGCCCAGACGAACAGCUUACAGUCCCGUUUAAGAACAGUUUGGCCGGCGCGAGGUUCGGCCACCGCAGCGCGAGCCGCUAAACACAACUUCUAAUAAACUCAGCCGAGCUGCGGCAGGAUUUCACGACAUUCUGAGCGUCGUGCCCUCCAGAAAAACUCCAACAAUCAGCUAAAAACGGGAAGACUGAAUCUUCAGUGAAUCCAAGAGUCAGCUCGGUGAACUGUGAGGACUGCUCGGUGGCGCGGUUGUCAUGGAAAGGAAGGAUUUGUAAGAAUCGACUCAUCUGAAUUUGACUCUUCGAAUCAUCUCCCGUCUCUGCUCUUACUUACCUGGAUCUGUCUGCAGUAUCUAAAGAACUGAGGUGGUUCUCCUGACGUUGGGUUGGUGGUACAGUGGGGACGGUGUGAAGGAGUUCAGCCGGUGGUCAGCUCAGAGAGAGGAGGCGGCUCCAAGGUUUCGGCGAUCUCCGAGAGCUCGUCCAGCAGCUCGGAGAACGACGGCCUCCGAAACGCUUCCAACUGAAAAGACAAAUAUAUGUACAGUACAGACCAAAAGUUUGGACACACCUUCUCUUUUUCAAUGCGUUUUCUUUAUUUUCAUGACUAUUUACAUUGUAGAUUCUCAAUGAAGGCAUCAAAACUAUGAAUGAAUACAUGUGGAGUUUUAUGUACUUAACAAAAAAAGAGCUGUCCUUCACAGUCACCAGACCUGAACCCAAUCCAGAUGGUUUGGGGUGAGCCGGAGCACAGAGUGAAGAAGGCAAAGGAGCAACAAGUGCUAAUAAACACCUCUGGGAACUCCUUCCUUCAAAACUGUUGGAAAACUUUUCAUUUCAGGUGACCACCUCUUGAAGCUCAUUGAGAGAAUGAUGAUGCCAAGAGUGUGCAAAGCAGUAAUCAGAGCAAAGGGUGGCUAUUUAGAAGAAACUAGAAUAUAAAACAUGUUUUUAGUUAUUUUACCUUUUUUUGUUAAGUACAUAAAACUCCACAUGCGUUCAGGUGAUUUUCAUCUGAUGUAAAUGAUAGAUAGUAACAUAUUUUAUGGGUGUAAUUUACCUGAUGUUAGUAUUUGUGUGUUUGUAUCAGGUGCUCACAUGUCCCAGGAAUGGGUGGACCAAAGAGCAAGUUCCCAGCAGCAUUAUUUAUUUUGUUACAACAUUACCUGUUAAGGAUUAUCUGAUUUUCCAAUGAUUUUUCAUUGGAGUAAUAGAAGUUAAAGAUAAAACAUUUUUAGAUAGGGCCUAAAGGAGGUCAAAGGGAAUUAAUGGUGGUAUAGAGGAGUGAAGGAGGGGAAGAAGGAAAUGAGGUUAGAAGUAGUUAGUGUGUUAGAGGUGUUAGGAGAGUAAGUGCUCUUUGAAGAGCUCUGUCUUCCACCAUUGGGGAACUCUGUAUGAGAACAGUCUGGAUUGCUUUGUGUGAAUGUUUGGCAAAGCGAGGGUCAUCCAUGAUACCUUUUUUAUUUUAUGUGAUGUUCUAUAUUAUAAAAUUAUAGAAGGGUUCCAAAACUUGUCAUACAGUGUAAACCCGACGUUAGUGAUGGUGUUACUAAUUUUAAUGGUAGUGUUCUAGGGUUAAUAAAGCUUAAGAGAUUCACUUACCAAACAACAGCUGGCUGCCAGGUCCAAUACCUGCUGAGGACAACCCGUCACCAUCUUCCUGAAGGCUGAGACAUCUAAACCAUAGUCCUGAUACACACAGAUACACAGACAAGUAUAAGCAGACUUGAAAUCAUUCAACUUUGAAGGAGUUUAGAAAUCAACAUUUGGCGGAAUAACACACAUAACCAAACACAUAAUCAAGAGGAAGAUGGAUGAUGACAAGUCAUCAAACCAAGCUGAACUGCUUGAAUUUUUGCACCAGGAGUAAAGGCAUAAAUUUAUCCAAAAGCAGUGUGUAAGACUGGUGGAGGAGAACAUGCCAAGAU
Long non-coding RNA from Astyanax mexicanus (Mexican tetra), 2328 nucleotides. RefSeq lists it as uncharacterized. The record is from RefSeq and is a predicted model, not a curated record. NCBI's taxonomy places the organism in Eukaryota, Metazoa, Chordata, Actinopteri, Characiformes, Acestrorhamphidae. The transcript has 2 exons.